CAGUAGCCGCGGUAACACGGAGGGGGCUAGCGUUGUUCGGAAUUAUUGGGCGUAAAGCGCACGUAGGCGGCUUGGUAAGUUAGAGGUGAAAGCCUGGAGCUCAACUCCAGAAUUGCCUUUAAGACUGCCGAGCUAGCAGGUGAGAGAGGUAAGUGGAAUUCCGAGUGUAGAGGUGAAAUUCGUAGAUAUUCGGAAGAACACCAGUGGCGAAGGCGGCUUACUGGCUCAUUCUAGACGCUGAGGUGCGAAAGCGUGGGGAGCAAACAGGAUUAGAUACCCGCGUAGUCCCUGUCUCUUAUAC
RNAcentral lists this ribosomal RNA (301 nucleotides) under uncultured bacterium. Its description in RNAcentral is "partial 16S ribosomal RNA". It matches the Rfam family "Bacterial small subunit ribosomal RNA", at positions 509 to 807 of the family's 1533-position model. The record is from RNAcentral.